CAUUUUUGGGUUAUGUGGGCCAUACGAGCGUGUGGGCCCAAUGGGCCAUAAUAGGGGUCGUGGGCCCAUUAUUACUGAUUGACUGUUAAAGGUUGCACGGGUCACCCAAGAUGACUGUGGACCUACUGUUGGGCCAGUAAGUGUACCCAGACCCUUAUUUUUGUAAAUGACUGAUUUACCCCUACGUGAUAUAUGACUGUGUGAGCAUGCCAUAUUUAUUUUACAUUAUUUUAUAUUAUGUUG
This 243-nucleotide long non-coding RNA is filed under the name Gossypium barbadense (sea-island cotton). Its description in RNAcentral is "long non-coding RNA (GBAR_LNC011483)". Lineage: Eukaryota; Viridiplantae; Streptophyta; Magnoliopsida; Malvales; Malvaceae. The record is from RNAcentral.